Molecule: long non-coding RNA, 468 nt
Organism: Hyaena hyaena (striped hyena)
Lineage: Eukaryota; Metazoa; Chordata; Mammalia; Carnivora; Hyaenidae
Exons: 3
Source: RefSeq, a predicted model, not a curated record
CCUGUUGUCCUUUAAGGAGACAGAGUAAAAUAGGCCUCUUUCUUUUGUCUCCCAUCUGCCUUCCUCUCCUUAAGACAUAUAACCAAGACUUCUUCCCUCAUUUUCCUCCAAACUACAGGGAAUACAACAGAGAACAAACGGACAAAGCCCCUGCUGUCAUGGAGAGGAGAUAAAAAGCAGCACAAAAGUCACACAAAGAGAUCAGUGAGUGUCGCUCCACUGUGAUUCUUCAGUGAAUAAUAGUUAUAACAGGAGAAGGAGCGAAGGCCCUCCUGGUAUCUGAGACAAGAACGGUUGUUUUCCUCAGUUCCACCAUGUGGACACAAGAGAGUUCCAGAAGACAACUUUUAAAAACUUAAGAGAGCUGCUUUCAGUUCUGUUUAAAUUGUACCAUAGAUAGUCACAAGAUGGUGCCAAAAGAUGCCUUUUGAAAAUCUAAGUGGUUGGUUCCUUCUUUGGUUGUUUAAA